AAGCAACACUCUGUGUCAGAUGAUCGAAGUUGUCUGAUACAAUUUGAGCUUGCUAUAGCAAGAAAGUCUAACCUAUUCCAGUGGUCUCUUCCAUGAGACCGACUGUUAUAUAGACUUAAACAGC
Molecule: small nucleolar RNA, 124 nt
Filed under: Lynx canadensis (Canada lynx)
Lineage: Eukaryota; Metazoa; Chordata; Mammalia; Carnivora; Felidae
Description: Small nucleolar RNA SNORA28 (ENSLCNG00005001071.1)
Rfam family: Small nucleolar RNA SNORA28
About the family: ACA28 is a member of the H/ACA class of snoRNA that guide the sites of modification of uridines to pseudouridines.
Source: Rfam by way of RNAcentral